This 481-nucleotide ribosomal RNA is filed under the name uncultured bacterium. Its description in RNAcentral is "partial 16S ribosomal RNA". It matches the Rfam family "Bacterial small subunit ribosomal RNA", at positions 28 to 507 of the family's 1533-position model. The record is from RNAcentral.
GACGAACGUUGGCGGCGUGCUUAAUACAUGCAAGUCAACUGAAGCAGUGGUAGCAAUAUCGCUUUGGAGGUGGCGCACGGGUGAGUAACCCGUAGGUAAUCUGCCUUCAGGUCUGGCAUAACUCCGGGAAACCGGGGCUAAUAGCAGAUGAUGCAGCGGCUCGACAUCGAGACAGUUGUUAAAGCUAUGGCGCCUGAAGAUGAGCCUGGGUCUGAUUAGCUAGUUGGCGGGGUAACGGCCCACCAAGGCAACGACCAGUAGCUGGUCUGAGAGGAUGAUCGGGCACACUGGAACUGAGACACGGUCCAGACUCCUACGGGAGGCAGCAGUAAGGAAUAUUGCUGAAUGGGAGAAAUACUGAAGCAGCAACGCCGCGUGAGGGACGAAGGGCUUUUGCUUGUAAACCUCUGUAGUGAGAGAAAAAAAUCCCAAUCUUUGGGACAUGAUGGUAUCUCAAAAGUAAGCCCCGGCUAACUACGUG